Molecule: ribosomal RNA, 497 nt
Filed under: uncultured bacterium
Lineage: Bacteria
Description: partial 16S ribosomal RNA
Rfam family: Bacterial small subunit ribosomal RNA
Source: RNAcentral
GAUGAACGCUGGCGGCGUGCCUAAUACAUGCAAGUCGAGCGAACAGACGAGGAGCUUGCUCCUCUGACGUUAGCGGCGGACGGGUGAGUAACACGUGGAUAACCUACCUAUAAGACUGGGAUAAUUUCGGGACACCGGAGCUAAUACCGGAUAAUAUAUUGAACCGCAUGGUUCAAUAGUGAAAGACGGUUUUGCUGUCACUUAUAGAUGGAUCCGCGCCGCAUUAGCUAGUUGGUAAGGUAACGGCUUACCAAGGCAACGAUGCGUAGCCGACCUGAGAGGGUGAUCGGCCACACUGGAACUGAGACACGGUCCAGACUCCUGCGGGAGGCAGCAGUAGGGAAUCUUCCGCAAUGGGCGAAAGCCUGACGGAGCAACGCCGCGUGAGUGGUGAAGGUCUUCGGAUCGUAAAGCUCUGUUAUUAGUGAAGAACAAAUGUGUAAGUAACUAUGCACGGCUUGACGGUACCUAAUCAGAAAGCCACGGCUAACUACGUG